AUACGUAGGGGACAAGCGUUGUCCGGAAUGACUGGGCGUAAAGGGCGCGUAGGCGGUCUAUUAAGUCUGAUGUGAAAGGUACCGGCUCAACCGGUGAAGUGCAUUGGAAACUGGUAGACUUGAGUAUUGGAGAGGCAAGUGGAAUUCCUAGUGUAGCGGUGAAAUGCGUAGAUAUUAGGAGGAACACCAGUGGAGAAGGCGGGUUACUUAACAAAUACUGACGCUGAGGUUCGAAAGCGUGGGGAGCGAACAGGAGUAGAUACCCUGGUAGGCCACGCCGUAAACGAUGAAUGCUAGGUGUUGGGGAAACUCAGUGCCGCAGUUAAAACAAUAAGCAUUCCGCCUGGGGAGUACGACCGCAAGGUUGAAACUCAAAGGAAUUGACGGGG
Molecule: ribosomal RNA, 389 nt
Filed under: uncultured bacterium
Lineage: Bacteria
Description: partial 16S ribosomal RNA
Rfam family: Bacterial small subunit ribosomal RNA
Source: RNAcentral